CCUACAGGAGGCAGCAGUGGGGAAUAUUGGGCAAUGGAGGAAACUCUGACCCAGCAACGCCGCGUGAAUGAUGAAGGUCUUCGGAUUGUAAAGUUCUUUUCUAAGGGAAGAAGAAAGUGACGGUACCUUAGGAAUAAGCCUCGGCUAACUACGUGCCAGCAGCCGCGGUAAUACGUAGGAGGCAAGCGUUAUCCGGAAUGACUGGGCGUAAAGGGUGCGUAGGUGGUUCAGCAAGUUAGUAGCGUAAUUCCGGGGCUCAACUUCGGCACUACUACUAAAACUGUUGGACUUGAGUGCAGGAGGGGCAACCGGAAUUUCCAGGGUAGCGGGGGAAUGCGUAGAUAUUAGGAAGAACACCGGGUGCGAAGGCGAGUUGCUGGACUGUAACUGACACUGAGGCACGAAAGCGUGGGGAGCAAACAGGAUUAGAUACCCGGGUAGUC
This 443-nucleotide ribosomal RNA is filed under the name uncultured bacterium. Its description in RNAcentral is "partial 16S ribosomal RNA". It matches the Rfam family "Bacterial small subunit ribosomal RNA", at positions 338 to 795 of the family's 1533-position model. The record is from RNAcentral.